Molecule: non-coding RNA, 98 nt
Organism: Macaca mulatta (Rhesus monkey)
Lineage: Eukaryota; Metazoa; Chordata; Mammalia; Primates; Cercopithecidae
Source: Rfam
AUCAUCUGAGGAUCUUGUUAAAAUGCUGAUUCUGAUUCUGUAGAUCUAGGGUGAGAUUCAAGAUCCUGCAUUUGUAGCAAGUUUCCAGGUGAUGCCAA